RNAcentral lists this long non-coding RNA (520 nucleotides) under Fukomys damarensis (Damara mole-rat). Its description in RNAcentral is "lncRNA (ENSFDAG00000027431.1)". Lineage: Eukaryota; Metazoa; Chordata; Mammalia; Rodentia; Bathyergidae. The record is from RNAcentral.
CCCUUUAAUUCUUCACUCCCCACACACACCCUCCAAAUCACCCCUCCCCCCCAAUCCUUGUCCCUCCUCUGUGUCGCUGUGCUUAUUUCAUCCCGGGGUGGGUGGGGAGAGAAAAAGUAAUUUGUCUGUUUUAUUUAUGAUGCAAUGAAGGUACGCUGCUCUCGUCAGGAUAGCCUGACACUGGUCAGACCAUCUGACAGGCGAGAAGAACUGCCUUCAUACUCCAAUGAGUGUAUAUUUUAACCAUUUGUCUGCCGCUGGAUGCUGUGAGGUUUCAUCAGGAGUCACAACACCUCCUUUUCAAAAAUCUGUUACACCCCGAUUAGAAUUGGAACAUGAAGUGUUUUCAUGGGAUCUUGUCAUAUACAGUAAGCAUAAACAAUGAAGAUAAGAGAAAUUUGUCCACCCCAUUAUUACCUUACAGGACAACCAUCACGGAUGUGUUCUGUCAUGGAACAUGCUACUCACCUUAUGGCUGCACCCCACAAUAGAAAAACUAAAGCAGCAAUGUUUCCACCCA